UCAGACUUUGACUGGAGCUUGAGUCAUUGGCUUUCCUGGUUCUCAGGCCUUUGGACUUGGACUGGAACUGUACCAUUGGCUCUGCUAGGUCUCCAGCUUGCCCAUUGCAGAAAGUGGGACUUCUUGGCCUCUCUCUCUCCGUAGGUGUAGGCUAACCCAAGAAGAAUAAAGCAUCGGCUUCCCUGACAUGCUGCUCCCCCCAAAACAGAGUGCCAAUAUGAUUCCAAGGUUCUUAGCACACUGUAUAUUACCUCACUCCUCCUACAGGGGUCUGGAACUGAACUUGCAAUUUCUCCAAGAUAUGUCGGUAUCUCUCUCCAUGCUGUGCUGCGUGGGCUUUGGGAGCGGUGAUGUGGACCAUUUGAAAUUGUCCUUGCUACCUCUUUAAUGCAUAUUUUUAUAUUUCUAUGCUCCACCCAAGUGCUGUAGUCUCUCAACUGCCUUCUUUUUGUUCUUCAGCUUUUAUGAAGCUAUUUUCAAGUGUGAGUAGUUGUCCAAAUUCAUGUUUCUUGAGGGAACAAGUGACUUGUUUGUAAGUUGACUUGUAUAUCUUUUUAUAGCUGAGAUUUUAUCCUGUGAUCUUACUAACUCAGGAAUUUUUUGGAGAUUCUUUGCAGUUUUCUAAGUAGAAUAACCAUAUUAUAUUUAUUAUUAUUUUCCUUCUUACUUUGGUUUUAAUUUGCUCUUUUUUUACAUGUUUUCUGAGUUAGAAACUUAGGUUAUUGAUUUGAUACCCUUAUUCCUUUAUAACAUAUGCAUUUGAUUGUGUAAGUUUUUCUCUAAGCACUGCUUUAGUGCAUCCCACAAAUUU
This 811-nucleotide long non-coding RNA is filed under the name Homo sapiens (human). Its description in RNAcentral is "HSALNT0147089". Lineage: Eukaryota; Metazoa; Chordata; Mammalia; Primates; Hominidae. The record is from RNAcentral.